This is a long non-coding RNA of Zalophus californianus (California sea lion), 503 nucleotides long. RefSeq lists it as uncharacterized. Lineage: Eukaryota; Metazoa; Chordata; Mammalia; Carnivora; Otariidae. The record is from RefSeq and is a predicted model, not a curated record. The transcript has 4 exons.
AAAAUAUCCAGUGCUAUUGUGCUCGUCUCCAUAAUCCUUUGUUACCAAUCAACAAAGUCUUUGAAACAUCCUGCUGAAUGGGAAUUUCACUACCGCCAAGGCACUUCAGGCCCAGCCUGGUGGACUUUCUACCCAGCGAAGGAUACCCCCUCUAAACUUCCCCUCUCCCUUCCGUGGGGGUGUCCCAGACCGCCUGAAAGAGCGCAACUCUUGUCUUCUGUGAAGAAGGGUGCUCCCCGCAGCAGCCUCUAGCGUCUAGCGAGGAGGGAAUUUUAAAAAGAUACCUAUUCAUUACAACAAGGAUGGCACCCCCCACCCACCUUCAGAGUCCGCCCCCUGUAUUCCAGUACCUAUCUACACUUGCGCUGAGGCCCGGCAAAAUGAAUGGAUGUUAUAAAUCAGCAGCCAGAGGAGACAGCAAAAAGUUCCAUUUGGUCCAAGAGAUGCUGAGCUCCAGUAAAACCUCAGAAAACUAACUCAAGGAGACAGAGGGAGUGAGAAGG